Molecule: ribosomal RNA, 507 nt
Filed under: uncultured Glomeromycotina
Lineage: Eukaryota; Fungi; Glomeromycota
Description: partial small subunit ribosomal RNA
Rfam family: Eukaryotic small subunit ribosomal RNA
Source: RNAcentral
CCAAUAGCGUAUAUUAAAGUUGUUGCAGUUAAAAAGCUCGUAGUUGAAUUUCGGGAUUGACACAUCGGUCGUGCCUUAAGGGGUGUGAACUGGUGUAGUCAAUUUCUCACCUUCUGGAGAACCGCGAUGUCCUUAAUUGGGUGCCGCGAGGAACCAGGACCUUUACUUUGAAAAAAUUAGAGUGUUUAAAGCAGGCAUUUUUGCUUGAAUACAUUAGCAUGGAAUAAUAAAAUAGGACGGCAUGAUUCUAUUUUGUUGGUUUCUAGGAUCACCGUAAUGAUUAAUAGGGAUAGUUGGGGGCAGUAGUAUUCAAUUGUCAGCGGUGAAAUUCUUGGAUUUAUUGAAGACUAACUACUGCGAAAGCAUUUGCCAAGGAUGUUUUAAUUAAUCAAGAACGAAAGUUAGGGGAUCGAAGACGAUCAGAUACCGUCGUAGUCUUAACCAUAAACUAUGCCGACUAGGAAUCAGACGAUGUUAAUUUUUUAAUGACUCGUUUGGCACCUUACG